This 500-nucleotide ribosomal RNA is filed under the name uncultured bacterium. RNAcentral's name for it is "partial 16S ribosomal RNA". It matches the Rfam family "Bacterial small subunit ribosomal RNA", at positions 30 to 523 of the family's 1533-position model. The record is from RNAcentral.
AUUGAACGCUGGCGGAAUGCUUUACACAUGCAAGUCGAACGGCAGCACGGGCUUCGGUCUGGUGGCGAGUGGCGAACGGGUGAGUAAUGUAUCGGAACGUGCCCAGUCGUGGGGGAUAACGUAGUGAAAAUUACGCUAAUACCGCAUACGAUCUAUGGAUGAAAGCGGGGGAUCGCAAGACCUCGCGCGAUUGGAGCGGCCGAUAUCAGAUUAGAUAGUUGGUGGGGUAAAGGCCCACCAAGCCAACGAUCUGUAGCUGGUCUGAGAGGACGACCAGCCACACUGGAACUGAGACACGGUCCAGACUCCUACGGGAGGCAGCAGUGGGGAAUUUUGGACAAUGGGCGAAAGCCUGAUCCAGCCAUUCCGCGUGCAGGAUGAAGGCCCUCGGGUUGUAAACUGCUUUUGUACAGAACGAAAAGGUUUCUACUAAUACUAGGAGCUCAUGACGGUACUGUAAGAAUAAGCACCGGCUAACUACGUGCCAGCAGCCGCCGUAA